This 248-nucleotide unclassified non-coding RNA is filed under the name Hevea brasiliensis (rubber tree). Lineage: Eukaryota; Viridiplantae; Streptophyta; Magnoliopsida; Malpighiales; Euphorbiaceae. The record is from RNAcentral.
GGAAAUAACUGAAAAUCCUAUAACAUCCCAACUCACUGUAUUUACUUUCAUAGCUAACACUUCCACUCAAAACUUUCCUGCAAUGUCUUUGGCAAACUUAAUUGGUAUCACUGAGACUUUGCCUACCAUAACAAAGCUUAUCAGCAAGCAGAAAACUCCGGAAAGAACAGAGGUAAUUGGAUUGCUAGGCAAGAAGCAAGUUAACUUUGAACAAGGACAUCCACUGCAGACCACAAGAAGACUAGCAU